RNAcentral lists this non-coding RNA (26 nucleotides) under Rattus norvegicus (Norway rat). The record is from RNAcentral. Lineage: Eukaryota; Metazoa; Chordata; Mammalia; Rodentia; Muridae.
UGAGACAGGGUAGCUGCGCACUCCAA